RNAcentral lists this transfer RNA (87 nucleotides) under compost metagenome. RNAcentral describes it as "tRNA-Ser". It matches the Rfam family "tRNA". From Rfam's summary of the family: Transfer RNA (tRNA) molecules are approximately 80 nucleotides in length. Their secondary structure includes four short double-helical elements and three loops (D, anti-codon, and T loops). Further hydrogen bonds mediate the characteristic L-shaped molecular structure. tRNAs have two regions of fundamental functional importance: the anti-codon, which is responsible for specific mRNA codon recognition, and the 3' end, to which the tRNAs corresponding amino acid is attached (by aminoacyl-tRNA synthetases). tRNAs cope with the degeneracy of the genetic code in two manners: having more than one tRNA (with a specific anti-codon) for a particular amino acid; and 'wobble' base-pairing, i.e. permitting non-standard base-pairing at the 3rd anti-codon position. The record is from RNAcentral.
GGAAGGGUCGCAUAGUGGCUAUUGCAACGGUCUUGAAAACCGCCGACUGUAACAGGUCCCAGAGUUCGAGUCUCUGUCCUUCCGCCA